Regulatory RNA element from Astyanax mexicanus (Mexican tetra), 114 nucleotides. It matches the Rfam family "Potassium channel RNA editing signal". From Rfam's summary of the family: This family represents a group of sequences related to the human potassium channel Kv1.1 hairpin element which directs the efficient modification of an adenosine to inosine by an adenosine deaminase acting on RNA (ADAR). The ADAR modification causes an isoleucine/valine recoding event which lies in the ion-conducting pore of the potassium channel. It is thought that this editing event targets the process of fast inactivation and allows a more rapid recovery from inactivation at negative potentials. NCBI's taxonomy places the organism in Eukaryota, Metazoa, Chordata, Actinopteri, Characiformes, Acestrorhamphidae. The record is from Rfam.
GUGGGGUAUGGGGACAUGUGUCCCAUCACUCUGGGAGGCAAAAUGGUCGGCACGUUGUGUGCCAUCGCCGGAGUACUGACCAUCGCCCUGCCCGUACCCGUCAUCGUCUCAAAC